UGUGGGUGUUCGCCUUUUCGGUGAAG
Molecule: microRNA, 26 nt
Filed under: Caenorhabditis briggsae
Lineage: Eukaryota; Metazoa; Nematoda; Chromadorea; Rhabditida; Rhabditidae
Description: Cbr-Mir-36-o25_5p* (star (passenger))
Source: RNAcentral